AAAUAAACCAUACACUCAAAAUUUUUGAAGAAAUAUAAAUAUGAUUGUUAUUUGAAAUAAAAAUAAAAUUUAUAAAAAUUUUGGGGAGAAAGUUAAAUUUAUAUUGGAGUUAAAGGAGAGGGCUUAGAAGUGUUGAGGUUAAAAUGGAAUUGGGAAAGAGUUGAGGGACCGAAGUGGAUUUUUUUUGUUAAAAGUAGAUAGCUGAUCCACUAACCCACGUGAACUCCAGCA
RNAcentral lists this unclassified non-coding RNA (231 nucleotides) under Hevea brasiliensis (rubber tree). Lineage: Eukaryota; Viridiplantae; Streptophyta; Magnoliopsida; Malpighiales; Euphorbiaceae. The record is from RNAcentral.